This 255-nucleotide ribosomal RNA is filed under the name uncultured Sandarakinorhabdus sp. RNAcentral describes it as "partial 16S ribosomal RNA". It matches the Rfam family "Bacterial small subunit ribosomal RNA", at positions 68 to 351 of the family's 1533-position model. Lineage: Bacteria; Pseudomonadati; Pseudomonadota; Alphaproteobacteria; Sphingomonadales; Sphingosinicellaceae. The record is from RNAcentral.
GAGACCUUCGGGUCUAGUGGCGCACGGGUGCGUAACGCGUGGGAAUCUGCCCUUAGGUACGGAAUAACAGUGAGAAAUUACUGCUAAUACCGUAUGAUGUCUUCGGACCAAAGAUUUAUCGCCUAGGGAUGAGCCCGCGUUGGAUUAGCUAGUUGGUGGGGUAAAGGCCUACCAAGGCGACGAUCCAUAGCUGGUCUGAGAGGAUGAUCAGCCACACUGGGACUGAGACACGGCCCAGACUCCUACGGGAGGCAG